This 460-nucleotide ribosomal RNA is filed under the name uncultured bacterium. RNAcentral's name for it is "partial 16S ribosomal RNA". It matches the Rfam family "Bacterial small subunit ribosomal RNA", at positions 338 to 795 of the family's 1533-position model. The record is from RNAcentral.
CCUACGGGCGGCAGCAGUGAGGAAUAUUGGACAAUGGACGAGAGUCUGAACCAGCCAAGUAGCGUGAAGGAUGACUGCCCUAUGGGUUGUAAACUUCUUUUAUAAAGGAAUAAAACGAGGCAAGUGUGCCUUUUUGCAUGUACUUUAUGAAUAAGGAUCGGCUAACUCCGUGCCAGCAGCCGCGGUAAUACGGAGGAUCCGAGCGUUAUCCGGAUUUAUUGGGUUUAAAGGGAUCUUAGAUGGGUUGUUAAGUCAGUGUGGAAAGUGUUCGGUUCAACCGUAAAAUUGAAAGUUAUACUGGCAGUCUUGAGUACAGUUGAGGUAGGUGGAAUUCGUGGUGUAGCGGUGAAAUGCUUAGAUAUUACGAAGAACCCCGAUUGCGAAGGCAGCUUACUAAACUGUGACUGACAUUGAUGCUCGAAAGUGUGGGUAUCAAACAGGAUUAGAUACCCUGGUAGUC